CUGUUUGUAUGUAUGUACGUACGUCUUCAGUCACGCCUAUUCUGGUCACACCCAACGUGUGCACUACUAUCUAUUUAAAUGUCAAUGAUCUAAUGCGGUAGUAUUCUAAUGAAAUAUUUUCAUUGAUGUGGGAGUGGUUGCAACAAAAUGGCGACUAUUCAGGCUAUGAAACGGGAGCAAUUCUCCAGCUUACUUGCAGCAGGAUAAGACUCAUCUGUUGUCAAGACACUUCUCUAGCAGCAAGAAAGUUAAGAAAGCAGCUGUAUAAUCAUUAAGAUCCAUCAGAAAGAAGAUUGCAUGUGAGACAGUGACUGAUUCAUAUGCUCUAUCUUCCAUGCUAGAAGGAAACUUUAAUAUCUGCAGAAAUUCUUAACUCAUAAAACUAAAAGAGCAAGCUCAUAGCAUGAAAUUACCUUCUACUGAUGAAAGUUCUGCACUGCUCCUCGUCAGUGGAUAAACAUUUAUUUAGUCCUAUGUGACUACAUGUCUACAUCAAUUCAUAUAGACAUUGUAUAUUGAUAAUCGAAAA
Molecule: long non-coding RNA, 529 nt
Organism: Amphimedon queenslandica
Lineage: Eukaryota; Metazoa; Porifera; Demospongiae; Haplosclerida; Niphatidae
Exons: 2
Source: RefSeq, a predicted model, not a curated record